RNAcentral lists this ribosomal RNA (715 nucleotides) under uncultured bacterium. RNAcentral describes it as "bacterial SSU rRNA". It matches the Rfam family "Bacterial small subunit ribosomal RNA", at positions 1 to 705 of the family's 1533-position model. The record is from RNAcentral.
GCACUAGUGAUUAGAGUUUGAUCAUGGCUCAGAUUGAACGCUGGCGGCAUGCUUUACACAUGCAAGUCGAGCGGCAGCGCGGGGGCAACCCUGGCGGCGAGCGGCGAACGGGUGAGUAAUGCAUCGGAACGUGUCCCGUAGUGGGGGAUAACGCCGCGAAAGCGGCGCUAAUACCGCAUACGCUCUACGGAGGAAAGCAGGGGACCUGCAAGGGCCUUGUGCUAGGGGAGCGGCCGAUGUCCGAUUAGCUUGUUGGUGGGGUAACGGCCCACCAAGGCAACGAUCGGUAGCUGGUCUGAGAGGAUGAUCAGCCACACUGGGACUGAGACACGGCCCAGACUCCUACGGGAGGCAGCAGUGGGGAAUUUUGGACAAUGGGGGCAACCCUGAUCCAGCCAUGCCGCGUGCGGGAAGAAGGCCUUCGGGUUGUAGACCGCUUUUAGCCGGGAAGAAAAGUCUCUGGAUAACACCCGGAGGUUUUGACGGUACCGGCGGAAUAAGCACCGGCUAACUACGUGCCAGCAGCCGCGGUAAUACGUAGGGUGCGAGCGUUAAUCGGAAUUACUGGGCGUAAAGCGUGCGCAGGCGGUUCGUUGUGUCGGUGGUGAAAGCCCCGGGCUCAACCUGGGAAUGGCCAUGGAAACUGGCGAACUGGAGUGUGGCAGAGGGGGGUGGAAUUCCGCGUGUAGCAGUGAAAUGCGUUCACACAGGAAAA